Long non-coding RNA from Mirounga angustirostris (Northern elephant seal), 7281 nucleotides. RefSeq lists it as uncharacterized. Lineage: Eukaryota; Metazoa; Chordata; Mammalia; Carnivora; Phocidae. The transcript is spliced from 4 exons. The record is from RefSeq and is a predicted model, not a curated record.
ACGUGGGUCCUGCCCAUUGUGUCUGCCUGGCUGGCUCCGGGCUGCUCAGUCCGGCAGGAAGCAGGUGGCCCGAGGUGGGACAUGUGCCCAGCCCCCUCCCCGGCUGGCCGUGGGUCCCCUUCCAAGUGCCACCCCACUGCCAUCCCGCUUCCAGAAAGCAAAGCGUGGCAGCGGCCCCUUAAGCUGCUGGGAGGGAAGCAGAGUGUUGGUCGGGUUCUCCUCGAUCACCCUCCCCUGGGGAUGACAAGAUGGAGAUCCCUGGGCUCUCGGGGGUCUCGGCAUAGGUGGGGACACUGGGGAGCCCAGGCUUCCUCUUCCACGCCCGCUGUUUUCAUGGGCUCAGGAAACUGACCGAAAGCUGGGACUUUGUUUUCAAAGCCCUGCGUCAUUUUUACUAUUUAAACGGCCACUUUGGGCUGCUUUUAGGGAGGUGGUUCUUUUGUCGCUUUUCUCACUCAGGAUGUUGUUUCCAGUAGAUUUCCUCACAGACUCUGUCUGCUGCCUUUGUUUGCCUCUCCGACUGCACAUGGAGAAGUCUUCGAGAAUCCAGGCUGAAUCAGUGAAUUGGACCUGUGGUGCUGUGAGGAGCACAGUUAAAUUUUUCUCUGAUGACAUUUAUUGUUUUCCUUUCUGCUCACAGAGGUCAUCUUGUCCACAUGCUCAUUAUAGCACAUUUGAGAAAUAGAGGAAAUAAACGUAGGUGAUGGAAGAGGAAAGUUGGUAUCACCCACAGUCUCGCGGCCAGAGACCCACCACUAGCGGCCUCCCCAUGUGGUUUGUCUUUCUCUCUUUGUUUCUUUUUUCUGGCUGGGCUCAUACUACACGUAUUGUUAAGGAACCGGCUUUUUACACCCAACACUGACAUUAACAUGGUCCCAGGCCCUUGGAAGUUUUAUAGGCACCACUUUUAAGCCUCUUUUGCUCUCCUUCGGCUCUGCCACCAGCAAAGCAGCAUCAAAGACAGUAGCCAGUGUUCCCGAGGAAAGAGGGACGGGAAAACUGAACAGAUACCAUCAUUUGGGUCUGUGUGGAAAGCCGAGAUGGCUGGGCUGGUGGAUGACUUUUAUUUUCUUCUUUCUCUUCUAUGGUUUGCACGGUUUUCUGGAGCAAAUCCCCGAGAAGAGGCGGAAUGAUGCAGUGAUCAGCAGUGCGGGCUGUGGCAUCCGGCGGCGUGGGUUCCUUGCUGCCGCUUUCCAGCACAAAACCUUGCCUGCGACUCCCUAGAAGUCUUCUCAUUGACCUGACGUUGAGGACGAGCUUUGUGGGAAGACCUGGGGGCUGUUCCAGAGAAGGGGAAUGGAUAGAUGUGCGACACACAGAAAUAAGAGUUAUUCAUCCUAGGAGGGCCACAAGAGGAAUUCAUGGAGAAAGGAACGUUUGUCCCAGGACGACUUGGUAUCUCCUUGGAAGACCAAAACUGCUGACACUAUAAAAAUGGGACAGUUUUUAACUACCAAAUCCGUGGUGGUCAAGACUGUGUGUGGGGUGUGGAACAGGAAGAGAGGCCAACCCCUGACUUUCACUACAGAUCCCUACCACAGAGGAUGUCAGACCGAAUGUUAGAAACCAGGCUGCUGUAUCCAGACUUCAUCUCUUUCUUUUUAACUGUUUAUUUUGAAGUAGUUACAGAUUCCUAGGAAGAUGUGAGGCUAGUAGAGUUGUCCUGUGGACAAUUUCUCCAGCUUCCCUACAAAGGUGACAUCUUAGACAGAAACAGAACAAUGAGAAGGAUAGACAUUGGUACAGUGGUGUCACACAUCGGGCCAUUUUAUCACAUGCCCACAUUUGUGUGACCAGCACCUUAGUCAAGAUCCAGAACUCCUUCCUCAUGAUGAAGAUCUCCCUCCUCCUCCUCCUCCUCCUCCUCCUCCUCCUCCUCCUCCUCCUCCUCCUCCUCAUUCCUAUCCCUUGGCCACCACGAAUCUGUUCUCUACCUCUUUAAUUUUGUCAUUUUGAAAAUGUUAUGUAAAUAGAAGCAUAGACUAUUUACCUUUAACGUAAUUAUUCAUAUAUUAGGGGCUAAGUUGGCCUUUUUAUUUUUUGUUUUCUGUUUGUUCCCUUUGUUUUCUUCUGUUUUUGUUUUUCUGUACUUGAACAUUUUUCAGAAUUCCAUUUUGAUUUUUCUAUAGUAUUUCCAAAUGUAUCUCUUCGUGUAGAUGGUUUAGUUGUUGGUUUAGGUAUUAUGUUAUACGUACAUAAUUUAUAGCAGUCCACCGCUGUUGACAUUUUACCAGUUUGAGUCAAGUGCUGAAACCCUCCCUCUUUUUCAGUUCCUAUUACUCUCCCUUGUUUAUGAUAUAAUUUCCUUAAGUAUUCCUCUUCAUGCAUUUAGAACCGAUUGAACUCUGUUAUAAUUUUUGUUUCAACCAAACACAAUUUAGAAAAUUCAAGAAGUCUAUUGUAUUCAUCUUUUUUAUAUUCUUCCCAUUGUUCUUUUUCCCUCCCAGAAGCUUCUUUCUGUUCAAGAAUUUUCUUUAGGUGUUUUAGACUAUGUCUGCAGACCACAGAUUCUCUUAGUUUUCCUCAUCUUAAAAUAUAUCUCUUUACUUAUGAAGGAUAUUUUCACUGGAUACAGGAGUCUGGGUCAACGGUUCUUUUCUUUCAGCACUUGGAAAAUGUGGUGCCACUUCCUUUGGGCCUCUGUGGUUUUUGAUGAGAAAUUCUCUGUCAUUCAAAUUGUUCCCCCCCCUUAAGGUAAGGUAUUGUUUCUCUCUGCUUUCAAGAACUUCUUUGUGGGGGGCGCCUGGGUGGCUCAGUUGGUUAAGCAUCCAACUCUUGAUUCCAGCUCAGGUCAUGAUCUCAGAGUCUUGAGAUUGAGCCCAGUGUCAGGCGGUGUGCUCAGUGGGGAGUCUGCUUGAGAUUCUCUCUCUCCCUGUCCCUCUGCCCCUCCCCACCAUGCAUACACUCUCUUUCUCUCUAAAAUAAAUAAAUAAAUCUUUAGAAAAAAGAAUUUUUUUUUGUCUUUAGUUUUUAGAAGUUUGACUAUGAUAUGUCUUGGUAUGGUUUUCUCUGGGUUUAUCCUGUUUAGGCUCCAUUCAGCUUCUCAGAUCUGUAAAUUUAUGUCUUUUGCUGAAGUUUGGAAAUUUCCAGCCAUAUUUCUUCUAAUGCCUUUUCAGCCCUUUUCCUCUCCUUUGGGGACUCUGGUGACAUGAAUGUUAGAUCUUACAGGAUAGUCCCACAGGUCCCUGAGGCUCUGUUCAUUUUUUUUUUUUUUAUUCUAUUUUCUUUCUUGUUUAGACUGGGUACUUUCUAUUGUUUUAUGCUCAAGUUUAUUUAUCCUUUCCUUUGCCCUUUCCAUUCUGUUGUCAAGCCCAUCUGUUAAGUAUUUAAAAUUUUGGUAAUCAUCUAUUUUUCAGUCCCCAAAUUUCCAUUUAGAGAAUUUACAUGCUUGCAUCUUCUAUUUCUUGGUUGAGACCUUUCUUUUUUGUAAGUGGGUUUGUAAUUGCUCAUUGGAGCAUUUUUAUGAUGGCUGUUUUAAAUUCCUUGUCACAUAAUUCUAACAUUUGUAUUGUCUUGGUGUUGGUGUGUAUUGAAUGUCUUUUUUCACUCAUUGUGAUUUUCCUGCUUCUUGGAGUGGUAAGUGCUUUUUGUUUGUGUCCUGAACCUGGAUAUUGUGUUACCAGACUCUGCCUUUUAUUUAAAUCUUCUUUUUUAGCAAGUUUCCACUGACACUGCAUGGGUCAAGGUGAGGCAGAGCUCUGCCCCACUGGAUGGUGGUGAAAAUUGUGGUUUCCCAUCCCCCUUCCUCUGACAUUGGGGGAGGGGGAGGUGCCACCUCAUCACUACUGGGUGGAACAGAGAAAGUGUUUAUACUCCGUCUUGGUCUGGAGAUCUAAUCUUAGAAGAAAAGAAUCCUCCAUCCCAAAGCACAAAGAGAAGGAUUAGUCUUGACCACUGCCAAUGCCCCAGCAGCAGCAGCAGCUCAGUGGACAGACCACCCAGAUGGGAGCAGAGACUGUUUGCUAAGCAGAGAGCUCUCAGCUUUUGACUCAUAACACAGACUUGAUCCAUUCAGUAUGUUUUCAACUGUUCAGCCAUUUUAUUCACUAGAUUUUGUUUUGCAGAAACAAGCCCCCUCCUUCUAAAAGUGAAGAUUUGCCAUUGUAAGAUUUAAAAGAAAAAAAGUCCUACUGACCUUGAAAACUUUUCUAGAAGCAAAGUUAUAGCACUGUAGUUAGAGUGCAUACUGCCCUCCAAGAGAACUUAUUUAUUUGGGGUAGCACUGCUGAAGGUAUUUUUUAUCAAACAAAACAAAACAGAAACAAGUCACCUUCCUUCAGACAUAAUCUCUCCCCUCUACCUUCACUGGGUCUCAGGGACUCCUGGGGACUUCUGUGUUAUUAUAACUUCCUGGAGAAAGGCCAGGCUUUGGGCUCCAAUAAAUCAACAAAAAUGUGUUAUAUCAAUGGAUGCACAACAUUGGCUUUAGCCCUGGAAGUUUUGUUAAGGAUUCAGUGACCAGUUUCACUUGCAAAUAACAAUUAGUUACCCAACACCUACAGGCUAAAUUUAACAACAAGUACAACAUUUCUGCCAAUGUUUUCUUUUUUAAACCUUCAUUCCUUUACUCAUUCAACAAAUAUUUACUGAACACGUAUUUUGUGCCAGGCACUGCUCUAGGUGCUGGAGAUAAAGCACCAAAGAAAACAAACAGAACUCUGCCUUCAUGUUGGCUGACAUUCUAUUGGGAAGACAUAUGAUAAACGUAGUAAGUAAAUGAAAUACAUAGCACGUUGGAAGGUGAUAAGUGCUCUGGAGGGAAAUGAAGCAGGAAGGGAAGUGGGAGUGCCUGUAGGUCGGGUUGCAUUACAAUAGUGUGGUUAGGGAAAGCCUCAUUGAGGGAGUGACAUUUGAACAAGAACUUGAAGGAGGGACAAGCCAGGUAGGGAGGGAGACAUUUGGAUUGCAGGGCCAAGACACUCCACACAGUAGUGACAGCCCUGAGAUGAGAGUAUGCCUGGUUUGAGGAAUGCCAAGGAGGCAGAGAAGACUACACUCGGUAGACUACCAGUCAGGUCAAGUAAAGACAAGUCUUGCAAGUGAAGUCUUCCCGGGAACCGGCCAGGUGUGGGAAUGGGGGCCAGGCCAUUGCUUUUUGCUGAGAUUGCAGGCUGCUGGUUUUCAAGGCUACUAUGAAACUGGGGAAUGGGGGAUGAGAAUCAGUUAAGUUACAACACCAUAAAGCUCAGUGUUCUUACUGAGAUUCUGCCUUUUUUUUUUUUCUUCCAGUAAACUCUCCUCAAUUGCGGCAAGUCCUUUGGUUAAUUUUCUGAGUUCUGUAAAAGUUGAUUCUGCUGAUUUUGGCCACAGUUCUCAUUGUUUUUACAGAGGAGAGGAUUUUCAGAGGUCUUCACUCCAUCAUUCCCGCUGCCAUCGCUCUUGAAAGGACACUUGAGGCUCGAAAUCGACAUAAACCAAGUUGACUCUGGGAACGUACCCAGAGUUUUCAGUGGACAUGCAGUUUGGUUGGACCAGGGGCCCCAUGCUGCAGGAGAGUGGGAAGAAGGCAGAACAGACAGCUUGAAGCUGUUUUCAAACUGGCAUUCAAAGUUUUUGAGGAGAAAAGUGAACAUGGUGAAAAUAAUGUUUUAAGAUUAAUCCGGCAGGGAGUCUAGGAGGUGAGCAAGAAUAGAAGCAAGAAGACCAGUUCCUUUGGUCGGAAGGGAAUAAUUGUGUACCUGGGAGAAGCGAUAAGAAUAGGUUGGUGUGAGAGCUUUCUGAAGGAAGCUUCUGUGGAAUGGCCAACGACUGGUUAUAGGGGAAAGCUUCAAAGUACAUGUGUGCAUAUAAUUGUUUUCUGGAGUUAUUGCUAGUGAGAUGCCAACCCCUCAAGUUUUCUGCCUGCUAGCCCAGAAGUUAUAUAGCUCCCAAGGGGGUCCUUCUGGCUUCCCCCUCUUAUUCCACUUGCCCCCCAUGAAUGACCCUCCCAGUGAAAUAGUGGAGUAUCUUGAAGUUCAUGGCCAGUAAUUUCCCCCAGUGGUCUGCUCCUGGGUGGGGAGGCAGAGUUGGUGUUCACACAGCCAGGCUUGACUGUAAGCACAUGAAAUUCUUGAAUCAUAGGGGCCCCUAAUUUAAAAAAAAAAAUCAAUAUGUUUGUCAUCCAUUUGCUGGUGGGGGGCACUGUGCUGAGCAAAAGAGGAACCUGGCACUUUCCUUCUGGGUUAUCACUGAUAACCAGAACCUCUUUUCUAGGUACACUGGCCCAAAGGUAAGGGGGUGUGUGGGGGGCGGGAUCUGAAAUCAGACACAGCAGGUGCUGAGAUUCCUCCCCGCCCCUCCCGUGCUGCUCUGUCUCCCAAAUGGUGGAUCCAAACCCUUCUUUAGGUAUCUCCAGACAUUUGGAUCUUUCAGACUAUCAGAGACACACCUCAAGUUCUGGGCCAGAUCAGGCCAACAUUAACCUUAGAAGUGGGGAGACUGAUUAAGUCAGACACAAAGUAUUUCCCAAAGUGUAUUCCAUGGAAUUCUGGUCUCAUGAGUGUCUCCUCAGAAAGAGGUCUAACAAGCUGAGGAAAUGCUCCAUUCUCUAUUCCCUGUUAUAUGAGUUACAGUGUCACAGUGCAUGUUGGUCUUGGAAAGCUCUGAGAAGUCCUAUAAUAAGAAACUUUCAAUCUAUUUAACUUAGCAUUUCCUAGUCCUCACUGACCAUAGAACUCGUUUUCCUUUGGACAAUCCACUUUGGAGCCAGGCCUUUAGCAAGUGUCCCUUACUCUCUUCCCCUAUCUUUCUCUGGUCAGACACAAUAUGGCAGCCGUUCACAUCCUUGUUCUGGGGGCUUUAAUCAGUGCAGACCCUUGAAAAAAUGAGGACUUCAGUUCGGCACAUGGCUGCCACUCAGACAGCCCAGAUGGGACAAAUCUGCUCUGCCAAAUUGUCCCCGAAGGUCCUGAAAGCUUAGAGUUUCCUAGAGACUUAGAAGCUCCAACUGCUAUCUUAUCUCAGACCUUCCUCUAGGGUCCUCAGUGUAAAGUGGGGUAAAUAGUAACUACUAAAUUUGCGGGAUUGUGGUGAAGUUAUUUAAUACAUGAUCAUGUAUGUCAAGGGCUCAGGACGGUUCCUGACACACAGUGAGCUCUGUACGUGUUCGCAAGUCUUGGUCUGAGGACCUUUUCUUUCCUUUUCUUUUUUCCUUUUCUUUUCCUUUCCUUUCCUUUCUUUUUUCUUCUCUUGCCUGAGGACAUUUGUUAAUGAACUUUUUUUGUAUUCAUUAUUGUUAAAUUAUGAUUAUUAUAUAAUGUUAGCUGGAUCUAUUCUUCUUCUUCUUCUUCUUCUUUUUUGUAU